GUCUGGAGUUUCACUCUAGGAAUAAAGGAAAAACAGUGGGAAGAACAAUGGGGGACAGGGGACUCUGGUGUUAUAUUUAAAAAUGAGCAGUUUACAUGGUCCUAUUUGCAUAAAAGGCAAUUAAAGUGGUUUGAUAUUUGCAGAGGAGUAAGAAGGGUUUUUCACUGUUGGCAAGAACUGAAAAAUUAUGCAAAUGAACUCUCUCUCCUGCAGCUGUGAAACCUGCCCUGCCAGAUUCUCUUUCGGUGAUUCAGAGGCCAGGGCUCCUGCUGCUCGGAGAAGCAGGUGGAGGAAGACUGCUGAGGAGUUCCUGCCAUGAUGUGCUGCCUCAUCACAGGUCCAAAAGCAACAAGGCCAACAGUUCAUGGACUGAAACCUUCAAACCUGGGAGCCCCAAUAAACAUUUUCUCAUUAUAAAA
Long non-coding RNA from Marmota monax (woodchuck), 419 nucleotides. RefSeq lists it as uncharacterized. The transcript is spliced from 2 exons. The record is from RefSeq and is a predicted model, not a curated record. Lineage: Eukaryota; Metazoa; Chordata; Mammalia; Rodentia; Sciuridae.